GACGAACCGUGCGAACGUUGUUCGGAAUCACUGGGCAUAAAGGGCGCGUAGGCGGGCUACCAAGUCUGUGGUGAAAUCCUCCGGCUCAACCGGAGAACUGCCGUGGAUACUGGGAGCCUCGAGGGAGAUAGGGGCGUGCGGAACUGAUGGUGGAGCGGUGAAAUGCGUUGAUAUCAUCAGGAACCCCGGUGGCGAAGGCGGCACGCUGGAUCUCAUCUGACGCUGAUGCGCGAAAGCCAGGGGAGCAAACGGG
RNAcentral lists this ribosomal RNA (253 nucleotides) under uncultured bacterium. Its description in RNAcentral is "partial 16S ribosomal RNA". It matches the Rfam family "Bacterial small subunit ribosomal RNA", at positions 524 to 776 of the family's 1533-position model. The record is from RNAcentral.